This is a long non-coding RNA of Felis catus (domestic cat), 4571 nucleotides long. RefSeq lists it as uncharacterized. The record is from RefSeq and is a predicted model, not a curated record. The transcript has 3 exons. Lineage: Eukaryota; Metazoa; Chordata; Mammalia; Carnivora; Felidae.
GCCUGGAGCCUGCUUCGGAUUCUCUGUCUCCUUUUCUCUCUCUCUGCCCCUCCCCAACUCGUGCUCGCUCUCUUUCUCAAAAAUAAAUAAACAGUAAAAAAAAUUUUUAAUGAGAAAAGCAUUAUUACCACAGUACCAAAACCGGCCAAAGAUACCUGGAGAAAAAGUGAUAUAUCAAUAUACGUCAUAAACAUAGAUGCAGAAAUUGCUAAACUAUUAGCUAAUUUGACACAGCAAUAUGUAAAGAGCAUAAUAUGUCAUGAUCAAGUAGAGUUUAUCUCAGAAUGCAAGGUUGGUUUAACAUUAAAAGUUAAUUACUGUAAUCCAUCAUAUUAACAGAAUAAAGACCAUUUUCAUACAUGUAGAAAAAGCAUUCGGCAAGAUUCAACACUGAUUUAUUAUUUAAAACUCUCAGCAAACUACGUGCUCUCUUAGGCAGCACGUAUACUAAAACUCUCAGCAAACUAGGAAAAGAAGGAAAUUUAAUUUGAUAAAGGGCAUCUGUGGAAACCUACAGCUAACAUACCUAAUGUUGGAAAAGUUAAGCCCAUCACUGGACAACUGCCUGUCAGACAAUAUAUGUUCCCAUUUCUCCCUCUUCUACCUUUGCUGAGGUUUCUCCAGUUUUUACCCCAAUGUUUCUGCAACUAUCGCCAUCCCCUGUUGCUUCCUGUGCUCAUUGCCGAGGUCUUUCUCAGUAUUUGAACUGUGAAGCAGAUGAAUGCCCCAUCUGUGAAGCUCAGAGAGUAUGUUCGCCAGGUAAGCAGUCCCAAGGUCAGAAUGUUUGGGGAAUCUAUUGAUUCAGCAGAUAAUUAUAAAAUCCAUCCCCAGAUGAAGGUGAAACUAGUUGAUUCAGCAGCAAAGAGCCCAAAUGAAUAAAAUAUUCCUUUCAUGUACUUAUGUGAUAGAAACACCAUUCAGCAGAAGACAAGGAGAAAUUCCUAAAUAUUCAGUGCUAAAGCCUUCAUUUUAGAGGAUAUAGCUUCAAUCGCAUCAAAUCAGAGCUAUCAGAGCUGAAACAGGCACAGUGCAGUGAUGUGGCUUGCCCAAGAUCCCACAGCUAGUAACUGGUAGAGGCAGAGUUUGACCUCACGUAGCAUGCAUCCAGAGCCUGGUACUUGUUGAGGCUUUUCCCUUUUGGAGGAGUAGGGGACUUUAGAUGUCAACAUACCUGGAAGAGAACCUCUGGGACAGACCCAUGAGGGUGGGGGAGGGGUGGAAAAGGUAACUUUCAUGAUGCUCAAACUGCGAGAUACUUGACAAGAAAAUGUCUUGGGUACUACUGGGAAUGGGAGAGGAAGAGAGAACAGAAUGAGGCGGGCUGUGGGGGAAAUACUAGACUAGUUCUCCAACUUGAAUGUGUUUGUGAAUCACUUGGGAAUCUAGUUAAAACAGGCUGUUUCAGUAGUUUGGAGUGGAGCCUCACUGCAUUUCUAAUAAGCUCCCAGAUCAUGUCAGCGCUACAGGUCAGACUGAGUAGUGAGUGUUAAAGAAUAUAUACAUAAGUAUAAAAUAUGAAUCAUAACUAGCUUUUAAGCUAAUGGCCUGGCCAAACCAAGGGCCAUUUAUUUACAGUUAUUUAGCAAAUACGAAAAUUUAUACAAAAGUUGUACAAAAAAUUAGGCAAUACCAGUUUCUUAGUUCCAAGUUUACAAGUUGAUAUCAGAAGCCAGAUUUAAAACAUGUGAAGCCUUAAUAAAGAUGAGUAGAUGGGUAAUGAUCAAAAAUUAAGACUGAAACAAUAACAUGGUAAUAACAAUAGUAUUAAUGAGGGUGAGAGACUUCUUGUUAAAUACAGUCAUUUAGACAUUGGUCUAUCUUUGUGCCUUUAAAAAAUUCCUCUAAAAUGACAAUAAGGAGGUGUUUUUGUUUUUGUUUUUGUCUGUAAAGUACCAUUCAGGACAAAGAGAACAGAAGAAAAUAACUGUGUACAAUAAGUGUUCACAAAAUUUUGGAAGAUAAAAAGAUGGAGGAGGUGCUAAUUGACUUAAAAAAAUGGUGGCUGCUGAAACUUACAUGCCAGUGGCUGGGACUACUAAUAAGAAGCAAGCUAAUUGACACAGUCGAAUCCCAGAAAGACUCAGGAAUUAGAUGAAACAGGCAUACUGAAGCUAUUAGAAGAUGUGCUUCCCCAAAACAGGAGCAUAGACCAAAAAUCAGGAAGCCAUGAGAUACAGAAAACAGGAGAUCCAACAUAAAAGAGAGAUGAAAGGGGUAACCACUGCUGUGGAAAUGAGAUCCUACUGUACGUAUUUAACAUCUUGACGACUGUUCCAUGUCAAUACAUAUGCCUUCACCUCUUUUUUGGCCAUAUGGUAUCCAUAGAGACCAUAAUUUAUGGUUUGAAGGAUCCUUCUAAAAGGUUAGCAUCCAGAAGUAAGUAUGACCCUCCAGAGGUCAGCCCAACGUGAGCAGGGUGCAGGAAGACUGCUCAGGGCUGGUGAUUAGGCAUCACUCACUUCCUGCCAGAAAGCUAAAGACCACUGUGUGAAUCGGGGAUCUUCACUGCUUCCCUUAUACCUCAAAAUUCUCCAGAGCCAAAUAAUUUGCCUUUGCUGCACACACACACACACACACACACACACACACACGCACGCGCACACACACACGAAGAGAGAAAUCAGUGUUCUCUAGAUCUGUAUCUGUAGGUAGAUUUAUAGAUAUAGACACACACACACACACACACACACACACACACACACACACACGGAGGAUUGGCUUCUCACUGGGGCUUAUUAGCAUAUCAAAAUGUUGACCCAACCUGAGGGAAACAAACACUCUUGUGUUGAUUAAGGAGGUGACUAAAGAACUCCCCUAUUUCUUCCUGUCCCUGUGGCAGCCUCUUGUGACGUCUCAUUCCUGUUGCAUAUCCCACCUCUGUUUCCUUCCACCUCAGAGCAGCCCUGGAAAAUCAAUGGAAGGGACUAUAUCCUCUGAUUAAGAACUUGCUUGCUUGACCCUUAACCUAGACUCAGCUCUUUCUGUGAUUGGAUCCCAGAAUCUUCAGUUAGAAAUGAGCUUAGAGAUGAUUUCUUCUAUUUUAAAAAUGAGGAAACAGGACCAGAGAGGGGAAGUGACUUGCUCACAGUAACACAGCAAGUAAGUGCAGAUAGCUGACUUCUGGACAGAGUCCUUCCUUUGAGUAUUUUCUUUCCAUAUUUGUCUCCUGAUCUAACGGGGCUGUGUGGCUUGGCCAAGACUCUCUGGCUAUCACAUUUCAUCACAUGGUCAAUGGCCAGAGGGUGGGUGGGGGACUGAAAAAGGGAGAAAAUGAGCCCUUACACCAGUGGUUUUGGUGGGGAGCACAGGAAAGCAUUUGGCUGAAAUGAAGGUUUGAGAUAGACUGCAUUUCAGCCAUCCAGGGACUUUGGACAGUUACUGUUGCAAACACUCUAGAGUUCCCUCCUGAACCUGAGCCUGUGUAUGUGACACCUUGGUGCAGGAAGCCAAUGAUACCCGUGUUUAACAGGUGACCUGAGCCCCAGGGAACCAUAUGUGAGCUGGAUCACACAGCAUGGCCUGGGCCAGGCCUGGGAGUCCUGGAUCCCACUUUGCUUGGCCCAACCUCCAGAGAAGUCCUCAAAGGCUUUUGAGGGGUACCCAUAGAGGAUGGGCAGAGGGUUUCUUUAGUUGUUGGCAGAGCCUCAGGAGUCCUGUGACCUUCCCACCUGCUGUGAGUCACCAAGCCUGUCUGACACUUGAGCUCCCGGUGGCUUCUUUUCGGACCCAGCUCAUGUUCCUCUCUGGGGGACAUGCCCCAGCUUGGAGGUAACUGAAGACCCCUUUCUCCUAUUAGAGAUGGAAACUGAACCAUAGCUUUUGGUGGGGCCCCUGGAUAUUCAUGACAAGGUCACUACUUGGAAGCAGGCUAAGAGAACAUGGUAUUAUGGAGAGCAAGGGAUGCUUCUUGCAGUUCUCUAAAGUCAAUUGUGUUUGUGUGCCUCAGAGCCCUUGGACCUGCUGCUUCUCCUGCCUGAGGUGGGCUCAGCUCCCAGCCCCAUCUCCUUUAUCUGGAGAACCAUCCUCACAGACUCACUCAUCUUAGCCAGAAUCUCCUCUGGGAGAUCUUCUCUCUGAGCUUCUAACCAAAAAGCCUCUGGCUCCUAAAAUUCCCCAUUCCUCCCCUGUCUUAGAAUUUAGCAUCAGGUACUGAAAUUACUGGUUUCAAUAUGUGUGUGGCCAAGUUCUAUAAAUGACCCACGUGUGUUUGAAAAGAAUACAUCUUGUUUAGCUAUAGUGUGCAGUGUGCCAUGCAGGGCCAUUAUAUUAAGCUUCUAAAUUGUGGGGUUCAAGCCUUUUUUUCCUUAAUUUUGUUUUUGUCUGCUUGAUCUAUCAAUUAUGGAGAAAGGUGUAUUAAAAUCUCCUACUUCCAUGUAGGACUUGGCAAUUUAUCCUUAUAAUUUUGUCAGUUUAAGUAUGAUACAAGUUGAAAUCUUUUAUUAGAUGUAUGUAGUCUUUUAAUUUUUAUAUCUCUUAAAGAUUUAAAAAUAUUUUAGAGAGAGAAAGCAUGAGUAGGGGAUGGGGGCAGAGGGAGAGAGAGAGAAUCUUCAGCAGGCUCCACACUCAGCACA